This 53-nucleotide transfer RNA is filed under the name Sphaerirostris lanceoides. Its description in RNAcentral is "tRNA-Ala". Lineage: Eukaryota; Metazoa; Acanthocephala; Palaeacanthocephala; Polymorphida; Centrorhynchidae. The record is from RNAcentral.
AUCCUAUAGGUUAAUUAAACCGUGUGAAUUGCAUUUACAAGAUUGAGGAUUGG